GCGGGGCAAGCCGGCAAUGUAAAUUCUGGUGUAAAAGCCCGGGAGGUCAACUCCGGUUUGCUUUCGAAAACUGUGUAACUUUAGUGCGGAAGAGGAAAGCGGGUAUUCCCCUUGUAUCGGUGAAAUUCGUAGAGAUUUGGGGGAAACACCAGUGGCGAAGGCGGCUUUCUGGUCUUUAACUUACCCUGAGGCGCGAAAGCGUGGGGAGCAAACAGGAUUAAAUACCCUGGUAGUCCCCGCCGUAAACGAUGAGUGCUAGGUGUUGGGGGUUUCAAUACCCUCAGUGCGCCAGCUAACGCAAUAAGCACUCCACCUGGGGAGUACGCUCGCAAGAGUGAAACUCAAAGGAAUUAACGUUGUUUUGUACAAGCGGUGGAGCAUGUGGUUUAAUUUGAAGCAACGCGAAGAACCUUACCAGGUCUUGACAUCCCGCUGACCGCUCUGGAGACAGAGCUUCCCUUCGGGGCAGCGGUGACAGGUGGUGCAUGGUUGUCGUCAGCUCGUGUCGUGAGAUGUUGGGUUAAGUCCCGCAACGAGCGCAACCCUUAUCUUUAGUUGCCAGCAUUCAGUUGGGCACUCUAGAGAGACUGCCGUCGACAAGACGGAGGAAGGCGGGGAUGACGUCAAAUCAUCAUGCCCCUUAUGACCUGGGCUACACACGUGCUACAAUGGUUGGUACAACGGGAUGCUACCUCGCGAGGGGACGCCAAUCUCUGAAAACCAAUCUCAGUUCGGAUUGUAGGCUGCAACUCGCCUACAUGAAGUCGGAAUCGCUAGUAAUCGCGAUCAGCUGCGCGAUCUCC
Molecule: ribosomal RNA, 803 nt
Filed under: bacterium Lsw
Lineage: Bacteria
Description: bacterial SSU rRNA
Rfam family: Bacterial small subunit ribosomal RNA
Source: RNAcentral